AUCCUUUUGUAAAUCAUAGGCAUGAUGAUUGGGUUUUCAUGCGCAUGCAUGAGAUGUGCCUCCCAUAAAUCUUGUUACCACGUAAGCACAUUACCCGUCUGACA
This is a small nucleolar RNA of Nycticebus coucang (slow loris), 104 nucleotides long. RefSeq annotates it as small nucleolar RNA U13. NCBI's taxonomy places the organism in Eukaryota, Metazoa, Chordata, Mammalia, Primates, Lorisidae. The record is from RefSeq and is a predicted model, not a curated record. The transcript has a single exon.